Molecule: long non-coding RNA, 1551 nt
Organism: Boleophthalmus pectinirostris (great blue-spotted mudskipper)
Lineage: Eukaryota; Metazoa; Chordata; Actinopteri; Gobiiformes; Gobiidae
Exons: 3
Source: RefSeq, a predicted model, not a curated record
UGAGAAACUUUAAAAGGUUUAAGCUGGUGGGGGCGCUGUUUACCAGCUGUUCUGAGAACAAUAAAGCCAUCGUCAUCGUACAGUCGCCAUCAAACAGGUGCAAAUGGUCUCAUGCAGUCUGAAUUAAUGAGGGGGCCUGUAAACAUUAAAAAGCUAAUUACAAUGUGGAUUUUAAACGUUGGCAUAUUCCCAAUGGAAGAAAUUAAUGCCAUUCUGCGGAAUCUUCCAGGCAAAUCAGAAUCAUCUCCUUUGAGACAAGCAGGCGGUGAAUUAAUUUGAGAAGUUGUAAUUAUGAUCUGUGGAGACAUAAGACGAGAGAGCUUUUAUUUUAGUCUGUUUCUUUUUGCUAAAACUAUUUGCCAUUGGGCUUGAGUAAGUUUGUUUUUCGUAAUUAAAAGCAAACAAUUCAAAUUAAAUAAUGCAAUAAAAAUAUCCGUUUUCCCCCGUUGUUUACUCUGACGUCACGGUCUCCUCGGCGACACACAGCUGUCGCCUUUGCUGAGGUUAAUCCAGUCAAGACUGAGGUCAGUCACCUCCAGCAGCACAACAGCAUAGUGAGUUACUCUCUGCGGGAUCAAUAUCACAUGUGAAAUCCUUUAUCGUCAUUUACUUUGCUGUAGUGUGCAGAAAUUAGUUGUACUAGAUUCCUGCUCACAUCCGGGAUGGUGAGGGGCCCAUGCCCCAGAACAGGAGGUGCACUUACUGUUGCUUGGUUUGGACAAUGUGGGAAAGUAAACUUUGCUAAAGCAACUGGCAGUCGAAGGUGUCAGUCACAACACCUUCACACAGGGCUUCAGUAUAAAAAGUGUCCAGUCAUCAGGAUUUAAGUUAAAUGUUUGGGACAUUCGAGGUCAACGCAAAAUUUGCCCCUACAAGAGGAUUUAUUUAGAGAACACAGACGUGCUGGUACAACCUGUUUGUGUGCAGACAGAUUCACUUUUUUAUUUUGUCGGCCUGUCAUAAGCUAGUUCUGAGAAAAGUGUUCAUAUUGUCUCUGUUUGCAAAUAUGUGUCAUUGAUAGCUCAGAAAAGAAAUGACUUGAGGAGGCCUAUUUGGUGAGAAUGUGUAAUUGAAAUAAUAUAGGCUAGUGAAGUUUUGUCUACAUUAUGACAAAGUGGCACUUUUGUUCUGAUUGCCCAGCAACUGUUUGAGUUGUUGGAUGACAAGGCUUGCUGCAGCGCCACUGUUAAUCCUUGCAACAAGAAAGACUUGACGACAGCCCCUUCUGUAGCAGAGCUGGCGGAGUGUCUGUGUCUCCACUCCAUUCGUGAUCGCACAUGGCAGAUCCAGGCUUGCUUAGCACUAACGGCUGAGGGACUCCAGGUACAAGACUUACACUGUCAACACAAAUCUGAUAAAACUUAUAAUAAGACAAUGACCAAUAUACACAAAGCCAAGUCUACGUAGGAUGAAAUAAUUAAUUUGUUUUGUUGUGGCCUUUUUUGGGCUGGUAUGACUUGGAUUUGUAAGAACAUAACAUCACUGAAGAAUUGAAUGAGCAAGCAGAGAAUCUGUUUUUAAUUAGUAUUUGUUUGUAUUUAUUGUUUUGUA